RNAcentral lists this ribosomal RNA (487 nucleotides) under Pseudo-nitzschia fraudulenta. RNAcentral describes it as "partial Bacterial large subunit ribosomal RNA". It matches the Rfam family "Bacterial large subunit ribosomal RNA", at positions 2433 to 2925 of the family's 2925-position model. Lineage: Eukaryota; Bacillariophyta; Bacillariophyceae; Bacillariales; Bacillariaceae. The record is from RNAcentral.
GUGGAAGGGUCAUCGCUCAACGGAUAAAAGGUACGCCGGGGAUAACAGGCUUAUCGCCCCCAAGAGUUCAUAUCGACGGGGCGGUUUGGCACCUCGAUGUCGGCUCAUCACAUCCUGGGGCUGAAGCAGGUCCCAAGGGUAUGGCUGUUCGCCAUUUAAAGAGGUACGUGAGCUGGGUUUAGAACGUCGUGAGACAGUUCGGUCCCUAUCCGCCGCGCGCGCAGGAAACUUGAGAAAGGCUGUCCCUAGUACGAGAGGACCGGGAUGGACGAACCUCUGGUGUGCCAGUUGUCCCGCCAGGGGCACGGCUGGUUAGCUACGUUCGGAAGUGAUAACCGCUGAAUGCAUCUAAGCGGGAAGCACGUUUCAAGAUGAGGUUUCCCACCGGGACAACCGGGUAAGGCCCCCAGCAGAACACUGGGUUGAUAGGCCGGAGGUGUACAGCAGCAAUGCCCAGCCGACCGGUACUAAUAGGCCGAGGGCUUGU